CAGCAGCCGCGGUAAUACGGAGGGUGCAAGCGUUAAUCGGAAUUACUGGGCGUAAAGCGCACGCAGGCGGUCUGUCAAGUCGGAUGUGAAAUCCCCGGGCUCAACCUGGGAACUGCAUCCGAAACUGGCAGGCUUGAGUCUCGUAGAGGGGGGUAGAAUUCCAGGUGUAGCGGUGAAAUGCGUAGAGAUCUGGAGGAAUACCGGUGGCGAAGGCGGCCCCCUGGACGAAGACUGACGCUCAGGUGCGAAAGUUUUGUUUUAUUAAACAGGAUUAGAUACCCUGGUAGUCCACGCCGUAAACGAUGUCGACUUGGAGGUUGUGCCCUUGAGGCGUGGCUUCCGGAGCUAACGCGUUAAGUCGACCGCCUGGGGAGUACGGCCGCAAGGUUAAAACUCAAA
RNAcentral lists this ribosomal RNA (399 nucleotides) under uncultured bacterium. RNAcentral's name for it is "bacterial SSU rRNA". It matches the Rfam family "Bacterial small subunit ribosomal RNA", at positions 509 to 905 of the family's 1533-position model. The record is from RNAcentral.